UGAACGCUGGCGGCAUGCCUUACACAUGCAAGUCGAACGGCAGCACGGGUGCUUGCACCUGGUGGCGAGUGGCGAACGGGUGAGUAAUAUAUCGGAACGUGCCCUAGAGUGGGGGAUAACUAGUCGAAAGAUUAGCUAAUACCGCAUACGAUCUAAGGAUGAAAGUGGGGGAUCGCAAGACCUCAUGCUCGUGGAGCGGCCGAUAUCUGAUUAGCUAGUUGGUAGGGUAAAAGCCUACCAAGGCGACGAUCAGUAGCUGGUCUGAGGGGACGACCAGCCACACUGGGACUGAGACACGGCCCAGACUCCUACGGGAGGCAGCAGUGGGGAAUUUUGGACAAUGGGGGAAACCCUGAUCCAGCAAUGCCGCGUGUGUGAAGAAGGCCUCGGUUGUAAGCACUUUGUCUAGGACGAACGGUAGGGGCGUAAUACCUCCUGCUAAUGACGGUACCGUCGAAGAAUAAGACACCGGCGUAACUACGUGCCGGCGAGC
This 493-nucleotide ribosomal RNA is filed under the name uncultured bacterium. RNAcentral's name for it is "bacterial SSU rRNA". It matches the Rfam family "Bacterial small subunit ribosomal RNA", at positions 30 to 515 of the family's 1533-position model. The record is from RNAcentral.